CCGGAACCCGUUUCUUGCGGAGGAAUUUUCUCGCCGUGCUUCGGUCAGCUACAAAAUUGUGAUCCUGGGGUCGUUACCUCGGAUAAAAUCCUAAGCAAGUUGGUAGAAAAACCCAAAUGUGGUAAUUUCUCGAUAUUACAGGGUCGCUGGAAAUCCUAGGGCCCGGGGUUGGGUUGGGACUCUUUACCUCGCGGCGGAAGAAUAUAGCUGCGGAGUUAGUUAAACCUCGCUUUCCCCGCCCGCCCUGCUCCUACGGGGUUUCCGCGUCCCUGACGCAGAGGCGGGCCGGGGGAGCCGCGCCGGAGCCGGAGGCGGAAACCGGAGAUGCUGUUCGUCGGGCGGCCGGGGCUUCCCGCGGGUGACAGGUCCCGGCUCGCGGCUCGCUGCCGGCACUCAGGUGCGGGAGGGGAACUCGGUUAUUCCGCUUGCUCCCACCGCUGUUUAAUUCCACAAUGAAGACCUGCCUGGCAUUUAGCCCGACCGUUAACAUCCAUUCAGAUCUUGGAAACGUAAAAUUCCUGCUAGGGAAAAUGUCGGCCACCCAGCGAGUCCCGGGAAGUCCGGUUUACCGGUACAUUUUGCAGCGCGAGAAGGAAAAAUGGAGUGUCAUUUGCAGAUGUCUCUGGAGUGGCCAAUUCUAUUCUCAUAUCAUUUCCGGUCUCUCGCUUUCUUUUUAAGAGUGUUACUGAUUUUAACCUAACAGGUGUGAGGAAUGCCUGAAAAAAAUCAUAAACUUUUGCAAAUGGAUAGAAACUAAGCAGUAAUUUUCCUUGGAACGCACGAAUUUAAAUGGACGCUUUGGCAGAUACAGCUCUGUGCCGCUUUGGGACUACAUCGGUUUUGAUUCCGUCUAUAUUGGUCAUUUUUUAAAGGCUGUAGACUUUGCCGAUAUAUAGUGAAAUGUUGAUUUAUUGAAAUUCAGAGCAAUAAUAUCCUUGCUGCGUAAACUGCACGGGUCUUUAAGCUCCAGACGUUUUCAAUUAGCCCCAUCUCAGGUCUCUCGACAAAAACAAAAAACAAUAUAUGUAGUCAUUUAACUUUAAAAUACAACCCUACCCAUGGUGCAAAAUAUCAUCGAGACUAUCAGGGUAACAUUUUCUCAUAUUUCAGAAGGCCAACUUAAAGAAUCAUUACUGGGAAAGCUGACUCAAUUUUCUAUAUUAUAGAAGAUAUUCGGUUCUAAAUACUACUUUUUUAAUACAAAAAUUAUUUAUUUAUUUGAAAAUUCUUAUCGUGCCAGGAACUAGGACAAAGAUUAAGAAUACCAAGAUGGCAAAGUGGGCCAGGCCCUCAGUCCAGUGGUACUGCUCCUCAUUCAUCCCUCUGUAAUGUUCGAAAUCCAGAUUUGAGGUGAUGCCAGAUAUUUUCUGAGAAUGAUGGUCGUCAGACAUCCUUGUUGUCUCAUCCAAAAUCUACUAAAAAUAUCCUGAGAUCUAAGAAAUUGAAAAAAUACUAAAUCGAAAAAGUGACCAACCGUUUGGUUUCACUUGAGCCUUAGGGUGAAAACAAUUGAUCAUAGGGUGAUACCAAUCAACAAUUAACACUUAAUCGUUGGUUGUUUUCUUUAGGAUUAGCACUACACUAGAUGGUGUAGGAUUUUCAAGUCUCUUAAGAGGAAAUAAAGGCUAAACUCUAUGGUAUAGGUUUACAAGUGCUAAGUAAGUUUCAAGGUAAGAAAACUUCAAAUACAGUCAAAAUCCACACCCACACUGCCUGUAA
This 1719-nucleotide long non-coding RNA is filed under the name Homo sapiens (human). RNAcentral's name for it is "non-protein coding lnc-RFC4-1:2". Lineage: Eukaryota; Metazoa; Chordata; Mammalia; Primates; Hominidae. The record is from RNAcentral.